Molecule: ribosomal RNA, 534 nt
Filed under: Serratia grimesii
Lineage: Bacteria; Pseudomonadati; Pseudomonadota; Gammaproteobacteria; Enterobacterales; Yersiniaceae
Description: bacterial SSU rRNA
Rfam family: Bacterial small subunit ribosomal RNA
Source: RNAcentral
CCCGCACAAGCGGUGGAGCAUGUGGUUUAAUUCGAUGCAACGCGAAGAACCUUACCUACUCUUGACAUCCAGAGAAUUCGCUAGAGAUAGCUUAGUGCCUUCGGGAACUCUGAGACAGGUGCUGCAUGGCUGUCGUCAGCUCGUGUUGUGAAAUGUUGGGUUAAGUCCCGCAACGAGCGCAACCCUUAUCCUUUGUUGCCAGCGCGUAAUGGCGGGAACUCAAAGGAGACUGCCGGUGAUAAACCGGAGGAAGGUGGGGAUGACGUCAAGUCAUCAUGGCCCUUACGAGUAGGGCUACACACGUGCUACAAUGGCGUAUACAAAGAGAAGCGAACUCGCGAGAGCCAGCGGACCUCAUAAAGUACGUCGUAGUCCGGAUCGGAGUCUGCAACUCGACUCCGUGAAGUCGGAAUCGCUAGUAAUCGUAGAUCAGAAUGCUACGGUGAAUACGUUCCCGGGCCUUGUACACACCGCCCGUCACACCAUGGGAGUGGGUUGCAAAAGAAGUAGGUAGCUUAACCUUCGGGAGGGCGC